Molecule: ribosomal RNA, 468 nt
Filed under: uncultured bacterium
Lineage: Bacteria
Description: partial 16S ribosomal RNA
Rfam family: Bacterial small subunit ribosomal RNA
Source: RNAcentral
GACGAACGCUGGCGGCGUGCUUAACACAUGCAAGUCGAACGGAAAGGCCCUGCUUUUGUUGGGUGCUCGAGUGGCGAACGGGUGAGUAACACGUGAGUAACCUGCCCUUGACUUUGGGAUAACUUCAGGAAACUGGGGCUAAUACCGGAUAUGAGCUCCUGCUGCAUGGUGGGGGUUGGAAAGUUUCGGCGGUUGGGGAUGGACUCGCGGCUUAUCAGCUUGUUGGUGGGGUAGUGGCUUACCAAGGCUUUGACGGGUAGCCGGCCUGAGAGGGUGACCGGCCACAUGGGGACUGAGAUACGGCCCAGACUCCUACGGGAGGCAGCAGUGGGGAAUAUUGCACAAUGGGCGGAAGCCUGAUGCAGCAACGCCGCGUGCGGGAUGACGGCCUUCGGGUUGUAAACCGCUUUCGCCUGUGACGAAGCGUGAGUGACGGUAAUGGGUAAAGAAGCACCGGCUAACUACGUG